Long non-coding RNA from Astyanax mexicanus (Mexican tetra), 862 nucleotides. RefSeq lists it as uncharacterized. The transcript is spliced from 2 exons. The record is from RefSeq and is a predicted model, not a curated record. NCBI's taxonomy places the organism in Eukaryota, Metazoa, Chordata, Actinopteri, Characiformes, Acestrorhamphidae.
UCACUCACUCUCGCACGCUCACUCACUCUCGCGCACUCGCACACUCCCUCUAACCCUGUCUGGCUCCACACACUCCAGACUCUCUCACACUCACACUCUCUCUCUCUCUCUCUCUCUCUCACUUUCUGUCUCUCUCUCUUCCAUCUUUCUAUCUCUCUUCUCUCACACUUCUCUCACACAAAAACACAUGCUGUCUGGGGUGCGAGAGACACACACACAGAAGGAGAGAAAGAGAGAGACUGCCGACCACUCCCUGCGAAAGAGAGAGAAAGAUAGAAAGAGAGAGAAAGACUUACUGCAAAGCAAAGCUUGUUUUUUUUAGGAUCCACUGAGAAAAAAGAUACGCAGAAGAUGAACAGAAGAUGAAAAAGAAAGAGAGAGAGACAUCAAACGAAAAACGGAAAAAAGUCAAGAAAGUUGGAGUGUGGGCGCUGGUCUCUCGCUCUCUACAGUCUCUGGGUCGGGCUGGUCUCCCGUGCCUGCUGUGCUGAUAAUCAGUGUCUGUUUCUAGCUGGCUCAGUUCAGCAGGAACAGGGGCCUGGUGAUGCCUCUUACCACCACAGCUAAACAUCUGAACACACACACACAGAGGAGCCCACCGGACACACACUCCAGAUCACUGCCCUGAGAAAAAACAAGAAAUUAUACAUUAGAUUAUGUGAGUAUAAAUAUAAUAGCACUCUUUUUGUUCUCAUUCUAAAUAUUUUUUUUUAUUUAUUAAUAAAUUCUAUUAUUUUAUGCAUGUAUUUGUAUUUAUUAAUUGAGAAGUGUUUUUUUGUGCAUGCUUGUAUGUUACAGUUGCUGUAUUUUGUACAUGUGAAACAAAUAAAUAAACAAACAAAUAAAUAAAUAAAUAAAUACA